UUCCGGUUGAUCCUGCCGGAGGCCACCGCUAUUGGAAUCCGAUUAAGACAUGUGAGUCGAGAGUCUUCGGGACUCGGCAGACGGCUCAGUAACACGCGGAUAAUCUGCCCUUGGGUGGGGAAUAAUCUCGGGAAACUGAGCAUAAUACCCCAUAGGCCUGAGAUGCUGGAACGCCCUCAGGCUAAAAGCUCCGGCGCCCAAGGAUGAGUCUGCGGCCUAUCAGCUUGUAGUUGGUGUAAAUGACCAACUAGGCGACGACGGGUACGGGCAUUGGGAGAUGUAGCCCGGAGAUGGACUCUGAGACACGAGUCCAGGCCCUACGGGGCGCAGCAGUCGCGAAAACUUCACAAUGUGGGAAACCGCGAUGAGGGGAUUCCAAGUGCUUGCGUUUUGCGUAAGCUGUUCUCCUGCCUAAAAAGCAGGGGGAGUAAGGGCUGGGUAAGACGGGUGCCAGCCGCCGCGGUAAUACCCGCAGCCCAAGUGGUGGUCGAUAUUAUUGAGCUUAAAGCGUCCGUAGCCUGUCUGGUAAAUUCUUGGGUAAAUCGUGCAGCUUAACUGUCCGAAUUCCGGGGAGACUGCCAGACUUGGGACCGGGAGAGGUUGGAGGUACUCCUGGGGUAGGGGUAAAAUCCCGUAAUCCUGGGAGGACCAUCAGUGGCGAAGGCGUCCAACUGGAACGGAUCCGACGGUCAGGGACGAAGCCCUGGGUCGCGAACUGGAUUAGAUACCCAGGUAGUCCAGGGUGUAAACGCUGCAGACUUGGUGUCGGAGGUCCUACGAGGGCGUCCGGUGCCGGAGAGAAAUUGUUAAGUCUGCCGCUUGGGGAGUACGUCCGCAAGGAUGAAACUUAAAGGAAUUGGCGGGAGAGCACCGCAACGGGAGGAGCGUGCGGUUCAAUUGGAAUCAACGCCGGU
RNAcentral lists this ribosomal RNA (914 nucleotides) under uncultured archaeon. Its description in RNAcentral is "bacterial SSU rRNA". It matches the Rfam family "Archaeal small subunit ribosomal RNA", at positions 1 to 922 of the family's 1478-position model. The record is from RNAcentral.